AGCGAACGCUGGCGGCGUGCCUAACACAUGCAAGUCGAACGUGAAAGGGAGCAAUCCUAAGUAAAGUGGCGUACGGGUGAGUAACACGUAGGUAAUCUACCCCAGAAUCUGGAAUAACCGGCCGAAAGGCUGGCUAAUACUGGAUAGAGCGACGGAAUCCGUAAUUGGGUUUUUCGGGAAAGGGAGCCUGUAAAAAGGCCUUCGUUCUGGGAUGAGCCUGCGUCCCAUCAGCUAGUUGGUGAGGUAAAAGCUUACCAAGGCAAUGACGGGUAGCUGGUCUGAGAGGACGAUCAGCCACACUGGAACUGAAACACGGCCCAGACUCCUACGGGAGGCAGCAGUGGGGAAUCUUGCGCAAUGGACGAAAGUCUGACGCAGCAACGCCGCGUGAGUGAAGAAGGCCUUCGGGCUGUAAAGCUCUGUCGAGUGGGACGAAAAUGCUUGGAGUUCACAGCUCCAGGAACUGACGGUACCACUAAAGGAAGCACCGGCUAACUCCGUG
Molecule: ribosomal RNA, 502 nt
Filed under: uncultured bacterium
Lineage: Bacteria
Description: partial 16S ribosomal RNA
Rfam family: Bacterial small subunit ribosomal RNA
Source: RNAcentral